This 201-nucleotide long non-coding RNA is filed under the name Amborella trichopoda. Its description in RNAcentral is "long non-coding RNA (ATRI_LNC002771)". Lineage: Eukaryota; Viridiplantae; Streptophyta; Magnoliopsida; Amborellales; Amborellaceae. The record is from RNAcentral.
GAUACAAUAGACAGGUACAUUAGAGGGGAAACAAUAGAAAGAAUAGAGGGACAACUUUAGAGCGAGAGAGAGAGGAGAGGCGCAUGAAGAGGUUUAGAGAGAGAGAGGAGAGAGACAGGAAGAGGUAUAGAGAGAGGAGAGAGAGGAGAGAGACAGGAAGAGGUAUAGAGAGAGGAGAGAGAGGAGAGAGGUUUGAGAGAA